GUUGGAAACCCUCGAUUUGUUUGUGUCUGAGCCAGCACCAUUCCUGUGCAUUGCAGUUACUUGGCCUACACAUUUGUUUUGAGUACCAGGUAAAGUGGAUUUCAUGAAGAAAGAAGAAUGUUUCCUGAAUACAUUAGUGCGCACUAAUCACAUUCAGACAAACUCCACAGAGACAGAGCUAGAGGAUUUUUAUUUCUGUC
This 200-nucleotide long non-coding RNA is filed under the name Mustela putorius furo (domestic ferret). RNAcentral describes it as "lncRNA (ENSMPUG00000028968.1)". Lineage: Eukaryota; Metazoa; Chordata; Mammalia; Carnivora; Mustelidae. The record is from RNAcentral.